AAAAAAAGACCACAACUUUAGCUCCCAAUUAUUCCCAAAAAAAUAAAAAUAAAGAAGCACUACCAGUUUUCAUGGAUCUAAAAGCUUCCACCAUUAGUACCCCGAGUUAACAUUUAAUAUGCAGGCUGUGUAUAUAAAUAUUCUCAUAAAACUUAAUUAUAACCGGGUGAAUACAACAAAAGCUCAUAAUCCUUCUCACAACAAAUUCAAAACGGGAAUUGCCAAAUAAACCCUAGUAAUUCACAUAGAAUUGGAGAAGAUGAGAGGAGCUGAUUCUCGAAGAUAACGGUAAACGAGGUAAUUCAAUUCGACAGAAGUGAUAGACGUCAUCUUCCCGGAGUUUAGCGAACGAAAGCAGAAGAGAGAUGCUAAAGAAUCAUGUAGUUCAAUUAGCUUUGAAUUUUACAGAGAAAUAUGGAGAAUGGAGUUCACCGGUAACGAUUCUCCAAAUCGGCGUCACCGAUGGAGAAGGACGAGAGCGGCGCUAGAGAUAGAGCAGCGAGGUUAUUUGGGAAAAAUAUGAUUAUUCAACCCAUUCAGGCGAAUAUUUUCAAAAGAAUCGAUCAGACCCUUUCAGCCCAAUUUAAAUUUUAAAAAUUGUAAACAAACAGUCUGAAUGACUGAAUCGUUCAGAUUCAGAGUCAUUCAGAUCGUAUCAAACAGGUCCUAAAUCUGAAUGAGUUGAAUCUGAAUCUGAAUGAAAAAAAUU
RNAcentral lists this long non-coding RNA (709 nucleotides) under Panax ginseng (ginseng). RNAcentral describes it as "long non-coding RNA (PGIN_LNC018697)". Lineage: Eukaryota; Viridiplantae; Streptophyta; Magnoliopsida; Apiales; Araliaceae. The record is from RNAcentral.